AGGGCACCACCAGGAGUGGAGCCUGCGGCUUAAUUUGACUCAACACGGGAAAACUCACCCGGCCCGGACACUGGAAGGAUUGACAGAUUGAGAGCUCUUUCUUGAUUCAGUGGGUGGUGGUGCAUGGCCGUUCUUAGUUGGUGGAGUGAUUUGUCUGGUUAAUUCCGAUAACGAACGAGACUCUAGCCUACUAAAUAGAUCGUCGGCUUACAAACGCCGGCGAGACUUCUUAGAGGGACAGGCGGUGAUUCAACCGCACGAAACAGAGCAAUAACAGGUCUGUGAUGCCCUUAGAUGUCCGGGGCCGCACGCGCGCUACACUGAAGUGAUCAGCGUGCUUUUUCAACCUACUCUGUCAAGAGUGGGGAACCCAAUGAACCUUCUUCGUGAUUGGGAUAGGGGAUUGUAAUUAUUCCCCUUGAACGAGGAAUUCCCAGUAAGCGCGAGUCAUAAGCUCGCGUUGAUUACGUCCCCGCCCUUUGUACACACCGCCCGUCGCUACUACCGAUUGAAUGUUUU
This 519-nucleotide ribosomal RNA is filed under the name uncultured eukaryote. Its description in RNAcentral is "SSU rRNA". It matches the Rfam family "Eukaryotic small subunit ribosomal RNA", at positions 1161 to 1699 of the family's 1831-position model. The record is from RNAcentral.